CGGGGUGUAGCGCAGCCUGGUAGCGCACUUGCUUCGGGAGCAAGGAGUCGCUGGUUCAAAUCCAGUCACCCCGACCG
RNAcentral lists this transfer RNA (77 nucleotides) under Myxococcales bacterium. Its description in RNAcentral is "tRNA-Pro". It matches the Rfam family "tRNA". From Rfam's summary of the family: Transfer RNA (tRNA) molecules are approximately 80 nucleotides in length. Their secondary structure includes four short double-helical elements and three loops (D, anti-codon, and T loops). Lineage: Bacteria; Pseudomonadati; Myxococcota; Myxococcia; Myxococcales. The record is from RNAcentral.